Molecule: ribosomal RNA, 435 nt
Filed under: Triticum aestivum (bread wheat)
Lineage: Eukaryota; Viridiplantae; Streptophyta; Magnoliopsida; Poales; Poaceae
Description: partial small subunit ribosomal RNA
Source: RNAcentral
AUGGCGCCCUCCAAGCCCGCCCUCUUCCUCGCCUUGAACCUGGUCCUCGUGGCAGCCGCGCAUGGCUGCGGGUCGGUCUGCGGCAACACACCGGUUGUCCCAGUGCCAACAUUGCCGAUCGCCGUGCCCCCGCCGGCCGUCCCAGUCCCAACCCCGCCGACGACCGGAGGCGGCAGUGGCACCUGCUCGAUUAACAUGCUGAAGCUGAAGGCGUGCGCCAACAUACUGAACCUGCUAAGGAUCAACCUAGGCGUGCCGGCGAGCGAGGACUGCUGCCCGCUGCUGGGCCGGCUUGCCGACCCUGACGCCGCCGUGUGUCUCUGCACCGCCAUCAAGGCCAACGUCCUCGGCAUCAAGCACUGGAGUAAAAAUUCGACCUAUUCAUUUUUGCAGAAACUUUUGACCUAUUCAUUUUCAAUCAUGGCAGUACAAAAG